UUUAUGGAGAGUUUGAUCCUGGCUCAGGAUGAACGCUGGCGGCGUGCCUAAUACAUGCAAGUCGAGCGAACUGACGAGGAGCUUGCUCCUUUGACGUUAGCGGCGGACGGGUGAGUAACACGUGGGUAACCUACCUAUAAGACUGGAAUAACUCCGGGAAACCGGGGCUAAUGCCGGAUAACAUAUCGAACCGCAUGGUUCGAUAGUGAAAGACGGUCUUGCUGUCACUUAUAGAUGGACCCGCGCCGUAUUAGCUAGUUGGUGAGGUAACGGCUCACCAAGGCAACGAUACGUAGCCGACCUGAGAGGGUGAUCGGCCACACUGGAACUGAGACACGGUCCAGACUCCUACGGGAGGCAGCAGUAGGGAAUCUUCCGCAAUGGGCGAAAGCCUGACGGAGCAACGCCGCGUGAGUGAUGAAGGUCUUCGGAUCGUAAAGCUCUGUUGUUAGGGAAGAACAAAUGUGUAAGUAACUGUGCACAUCUUGACGGUACCUAACCAGAAAGCCACGGCUAACUACGUGCCAGCAGCCGCGGUAAUACGUAGGUGGCAAGCGUUAUCCGGAAUUAUUGGGCGUAAAGCGCGCGUAGGCGGUUUUUUAAGUCUGAUGUGAAAGCCCACGGCUCAACCGUGGAGGGUCAUUGGAAACUGGAAAACUUGAGUGCAGAAGAGGAAAGUGGAAUUCCAUGUGUAGCGGUGAAAUGCGCAGAGAUAUGGAGGAACACCAGUGGCGAAGGCGGCUUUCUGGUCUGUAACUGACGCUGAUGUGCGAAAGCGUGGGGAUCAAACAGGAUUAGAUACCCUGGUAGUCCACGCCGUAAACGAUGAGUGCUAAGUGUUAGGGGGUUUCCGCCCCUUAGUGCUGCAGCUAACGCAUUAAGCACUCCGCCUGGGGAGUACGGUCGCAAGACUGAAACUCAAAGGAAU
Molecule: ribosomal RNA, 928 nt
Filed under: Staphylococcus chromogenes
Lineage: Bacteria; Bacillati; Bacillota; Bacilli; Caryophanales; Staphylococcaceae
Description: bacterial SSU rRNA
Rfam family: Bacterial small subunit ribosomal RNA
Source: RNAcentral